Molecule: ribosomal RNA, 459 nt
Filed under: uncultured bacterium
Lineage: Bacteria
Description: partial 16S ribosomal RNA
Rfam family: Bacterial small subunit ribosomal RNA
Source: RNAcentral
CCUACGGGUGGCAGCAGUGAGGAAUAUUGGUCAAUGGGCGGGAGCCUGAACCAGCCAAGCCGCGUGAGGGAAGAAGGUACAGCGUAUCAUAAACCUCUUUUGUCAGGGAACAAAGGCGGGGACUCGUCCCCGGAUGAGGGUACCUGAAGAAAAAGCAUCGGCUAACUCCGUGCCAGCAGCCGCGGUAAUACGGAGGAUGCGAGCGUUAUCCGGAUUUAUUGGGUUUAAAGGGUGCGCAGGCGGCCUGUUAAGUCAGCGGUAAAAGCCCGGGGCUCAACCCCGGCGAGCCGUUGAAACUGGCGGGAUGGAGUUGGAGAGAAGUACGCGGAAUGCGCGGUGUAGCGGUGAAAUGCUUAGAUAUCGCGCAGAACCCCGAUUGCGAAGGCAGCAUGCCGGCUCCACACUGACGCUGAGGCACGAAAGCGUGGGUAUCGAACAGGAUUAGAUACCCGGGUAGUC